GAGGAAGGCAAAUCUCGGGGAUGCAGCCCGAGAGUUGGCCUCGGUUUGCACCUGGAGGAGGAGCUGAGGCGUUCUGGGCAUCCUACAGAAACUGACAAGCGCUCCCCUGUACCCUCCGAAUCUAUACAACGGCCCAAAGGGAGCAGGCGGAAGAAAGAGCUCAGGCUCUCUGGCCCCGAAGUCCAAAAAUACCUUCAUUUCCUCAUUGAUCUCCCUUUUCACUGGCCUGAUUCCUCCAGAAAAUACAUUGGAGAGUGGAUAGGAAGACCCCAGGGUGAUCUGCCUUCAGCCCUCAACCCCUAGAUCUGCGUCUUUGUUAUCUCCAAGAACACCUAACUGGAAGCCCAGUCUUCAUGCCUGAAAAUUUGUCUCCAACGUGCUGUUCGGCCCUGAGUUGUCUCUUUAUUACAUCCCAGAGGGAGGACAUUGAGUGGAAAAGUUUCCACAGUUUCACUAUGAGAAGACAUUAUACAUUUCAGUGGAAGAAAGAAAAUGUCAUCAAAAGCUAAGUAGAUAAGUUAAGGAUGCUAUAAUAAGUCUUGGGAUAUAGGCUGUGCAUUUGUUUUGUUUUUUAAUUCCAUUAAAGUCAGUAAAUCUGUGUACCAGAUGCUGAAGUAGGACUCUUGCUUCAAGCCAGUUUUGCCCUUCCCAUCUGAAGUCAGCCAGUCUUUAGUGCAGCUGAUCUCCUUUUGAGUCUGGAGGUGAGGGAGAGCUGGCAGGGACAGAUGGAAGAGAAGAGAGAAGAUCCGGGGACAGUGACUAGAAGCUGUGCUCCUUGAGGAAGUCUCAGGAUGUACAGUAUGGGAAGGUGCCGAAGCCCUAAACUGGGAAACAAAACAAAACACCAGCAUGGGGAAAAAAAAAAAGGAAGUUCAACAUUGAACACAGAGUAUGCACAGAGGCAUCUUUUUAUGUGGUGAGCAGUAGAGUUUUGUCACUGAACACACGAACAAUUAUAUAGAAUUUAGUAAUACAAAAGCUACUAUUUCUUGAAUGCUUUUUACACACCAGGGACCAUGCUUAAUAUUUUACAGAGAUUAUUUUAUUCAAUCUUCACACAGUUGACACAAUUACAGAUUGUGUUCCAUUUUGCAGAUGAGGAAAUGGAGAGUUAAGACAUUCAGCAUUUGCCUAGUAAGUGGGCCAGCAGUCUGAGUAGCGUCUAGAAUUCUCCCUGCCACCUUGUAUUACCAAUGGUUUUGGUGAGGAGUCUUGCUUACAAGUAACAAAACGAGCUCUAACUGUCUAAAGAAAAAAAAAUGUUGGAGGAAAGAGGGUUCACAGAAUCCAAGAGGCUGGGAGAACAAGCUUGGGAAACAGGCAAGAACCCAGGGCCUCAGGAGGCCAGGCCACAGGAACACCCUAUCCAAGAUGCCACCAUCUCUGCUUCUGCUAUACCAUACCUUCUAGAAAUGACAACUGGACAUCAUGCUGACCCCAUGAGCUGCCCCAGAUGCUCCUCCUUCAUCUUCACCUCGGGGUGCACAGGCCUGGAUGGGAAGGUCCACGGCCAGGUGUUGGAGCCCCUGUUCCAUAUUCCAGGGGGUGGGGAGAGUGAGAUUCAAACUGUUUGGCAUCCACAGUGGAAAGUGAGGUCUUAUAUCCCAAGAUCACACGCGAUGAAGAAUUCCCCUAAAUGCAAGGACAGAUGGAUUUUGACAGCCAAAGGAAUGUUAUAAUGUCCUUCCAGACUACCAGCUGUAGCCACUUUGUAGCAAAUCAUUCCAUUAGGAAAGUAAAUGUAGGGCUGUUAAAAUAAUUUUGAAAGGUCAGGCAAAGGUGGAAUUGUGCAAACAUUAAAUAUUGCAAAUCAAAACCUGACUGACCUAGAAUUUCAUCCUAAUAGAUUUAUUUUCAAUCUCUAAAUGCAGACUUCAAAAAGGCAAAUUUGGUAACCCAUAUGCUAAACAGCAAUUAAUUGGAAUGUUUAGGGAAUGGAAUGUUCUUGUUAACUUAAAUUUCUAACUAAAUGUGAUUAAGCCUUUAAAAAGACCCACAAGCCUUUAUAUUUCAGAUCUUGUCACUGGAAUUCUUAAUAAAAUAUUUGGAUUGUGAGGAUUUUGCAAUUCCUCAGAAUUACUGAUGCCACCAUAUGUGGUUGUAAAGUGCAGUCGGUGUAGACUGUGCUGAAUGUGUUCAGAUCUCGGGGUAUAUGUUCCAUGUACAUUUCAUUAGCCAAAUUUCUUUUUUCAUUUUAGGCUGAUCCUUUUGCAAAUUUUUAUUAAAAUUCUUAUUUUUUAAAAAAGAUUUAUCACCUCUUAACAUAAAGGGGAAAUGGCUAUAUAUUCAAUUACAAAUGCAGAAACAUAUAAUACGAUUUGAUCUUGAAAAUGUAACAGCCAUGAAGGCAUCCAAUAUUCCUUCAUUAGCCAAACUUCUGAUAUGAAUUUGCCUUUUGUUUUCUCCAUUGCAUAAAAAUUAGAUAAAGAGGAGGAAAUAAAUUCUGUCCACGUAAACUUUUUUUUUUUGGAGCCUACUAAGGGCAAGCAUACUACUAGGCACUGUGAACAUAAACAUAAAUAAUAAAGGUGUUUUUAAAAUGAGAUGGGAAUUCAGAAAAUGGGCUGACUAAUUCUGAGUGAAGGAUAGAGAUGGCAACCAUCUGAGCUGGGCCUUGAGGAAUGAGAAGUAGGAUAUUGCCAGAUGAGGGAGGGAGAAGGAGGACAUCCUAGGCAGGAAGAACAGUGUGAAGAAAAGUGUCAAGAGGUGAAAGUGCAAAUGGAGGAAAGGGAAGGGGGAAUAAUUCAGUGGGCCUAGGAUGAGUAUGUUAAAGGGGGCUAUGAGAUCACCCCAAAUGUAGGAUAGGACCAGACUGUCAAUGGCUGCAAAUACCAUCCUAAAGGACAGUGGACUUCUUUCUGAGAGUCCUAGGAAGCCACUGAGUCUUUUUUAGAAGGUGAUAAGAUCAUAAAUGUGGGACAGGAAGAUCACUUUGACAACAGGUAAAAGGCAGAAGAAGAGACCAGAAGUAGGAAAUUACAUAAGAGGUGUUUGUAAAAGUCCAAGAGGUAAUAAAUUAUUGCUUAGACUAGUGCAGUAGUAGUUGGAAGGGAUUCUUUCUACGAGUUACCUUAGAGACAGAAUCCAUAGGAAUUGGUAUCUGACUGAACAGAGGGGAGAGGAGAUUGUGUGAAAAAAGUGAGUAUUUGGAUAAUAGAGCCCAUUGCAUAGUAACUAACUCCUUUUUGCAAAAACAACAAUAAAAAUUGCACUUCUAAUUGGCUCAUUGAAUAAGUGGAGCAGUGGAUUCCAGUUUUGAUUGAUCAUCUCCCCAGCCCAGACCUACUGAAGUAGGUUGUCUGGAAGUAAAGACCAGUAAUUCAUAUUUUAAAAGCUCUCCAAGGAUUCUGAUGAUCAGUCAAUUUAAGAAAGCACUGCAAUUGAAAAUCUGAACAGCAAAUGAUACCCAAUAACAUUAGAUUCUGCGAUAUCUUAUGACGUCCUGUCUGCUCUACUUCUGAAACAUAGCCUGAAUCUCAGUAUCCUCUCUAAUUCCUCCACACCCAUCCUAAUAUUAGGCCCAUUUAUUUAUUGCCAAAACUAAGUAACUGCCACCUACCUGGGCUCCUUGCUUCCACUCUUCUCCCUGUGCAGUCCAUUCUCCACAAAGCAACCAGACCAUUUCUUCAAAAAUGUGAAACAGAACUUGCACCCUCUUGCUGAAAAUGUUCCAGUGACUUCCUGUCACACUGUGAUGGUUUUAAAAUAUGUCCAUAAAUUCUUUGUUGCUUCUCCCUUGAAAAAAUAAAGCCUGAUUCCCCUCCCCUUGAUUAUGGGCUAUUCUUAGUGACUUGCUUGUAAGAAACAGAAUGUGACAAAAGUGAUGGUGUGUGAUGUCCAAGAUUAGGACAUAAAAGAUAUUGUGGUUUCCUUCUUGCUCUCUUUUCUUGAAUCAAUCACUUACUUGGGGGAAGAGAGAUACUAUGUCACAUUCAAGCAGCCCUACAAAGAGGUCCAUAUGGUGAAAAACUGAAGCCCUCUGCCAACAGUCAGCAAGGAACUGAGGGCUUCUGCCAAUAGCCAAUUGAAUGCUCCAUCUUGGAAGCAGAUCCUCCAGCCUCAGUCAAGCCUUCAGAUGACUGUAGCCAUAGUCAAUAUCUUGACUCCAAUUAUCUGAGAGGCCCUGAGUCAAAACCACCCAGUUAUUUGGCUCCCAAAUUCCUGACUCACAGAAACUAUGAGAUAAUAAUGGUUUUAAGCUAUUAUGUUUUGGGGAAAAUCUGUUAGCAACAAUAGAUAACUAAUACACAUACUUAAAAUACAAUCCAAACUCCUUGCCAUGACUGGCAAGGCUCUACAUACUUAGAAUUCUGCCUAUAUUACUAAUUUUAUCUACCACUCACUUUGUGGAAAAGACUAAUAGUUGUCCCUUAACAGAUAAUUGUCUCUACUUUGUUUAGAAAUAGAGUCACCAAAGUUUAUCCAGGUAUAUGAAUUCAAACUACUGACCAUAUUUCCUAGCCUGCCUCACAACUAGAUUUGGUCAUAUGGCAAAUUCUAGCCAAUAGGAUGUGAGCAAAGGGAUGUGUGUCACUCCCAAGUUUUGCCUUUAAAUAGAAGGGAUGUGGCUUCUGUUCCCCUUCCCCUCAUUUCUGAUGACUAGAAUACCAGUAUGAUGGUUAAAGAGGAGAAGCUGGACUAGCCAUGUCAAGUCACAAGAUGGAAGUCUCAUGGUAAGCAUGGCAAAGCAACAGGAUAAAAAGAGCAUUGGUCCCCAAUACCAUUAAGCCAGGUCUGUCUUGUCUUUAACAUGAGCAAGACACAGGGCUAUAUAUUGCAUUAAAUCAUUGCAUUUUUUGGUCUCUUUACUACAACAGCCCAACCUAUACGUUAACUUACUCAGCUCCUUGUUUACCAUGUUCUAGCCACAUUGAUCUUCUUUCUUCUCUUCUACUACCCUGAGGUCUUUGCACUUGCUGUUCACUCUGCUUGGAAUACUUUCCCCGGCCAGGAGUCCCCCAUGGCUGACUCCCUGCUACCAGGUUUCAUUGUUUCAUCUAAAACACCUACCCCUGUGUUGUUCUCCAUUACAUAAUCAUGAAUGAAUUCUAUUCUUCAUGGUACUCUCAGCACCUUAAAUUUUCUAACUUAUCUGUUUGUUGUUUGUCUCCACUAGAAUACAAUCUCCAUAAGAUCAAGACUCUUGUCUGCCUUAUUUCCCGCUGAAUCUCCUGUGCCAGGAAAGUGCCUGCACGUAGUAGGUGCUCUAUAAGUAUCUGUUGUGCAAAUAAGUUAACAAAUGAAUUGAUGAUAAAUGAUGUCAAGAGCCUAGUCCUUGGAUCACUUUUCAUAAUUCAGCCUCCUUUAUCUGCUGAAAUUAGGACACAUCCAUCCUUGAAUUUUCCAUUUUCCAGUUUUAGAAGAAAGCUGCAUCUUAAGACAGAGAAAAUAUUUUCAGGUAAUUUAGGAGUUAUUUUUAUUACUACAGGGCAGCAGUUACUGAUAAGAUGCCUUGACAACUCUAUAAUUUGAUGUUGUCAACCUUUCUAUGUAUAACAAAUGCAGUAUGUCUUGACCCCCUUCUGCCUGAUGUUACCUAUGUAUGCAUUCUAUGCAACAAAAGGAGGAUUCUUCUAUAUGUAGAAUUCUAUCACAAUUUCUCUAGAAACUUAGGGGAUGAAGUCUGACCUAUAUAUUUAUUUUUCUUAAAAAAGAAAGAAAAUAAAGAAAGAAAGUAGAUAGGAAGGGAGAGAGAGAAUGAGAGAGAGAGAGAGAGAGA
Molecule: long non-coding RNA, 5719 nt
Organism: Globicephala melas (long-finned pilot whale)
Lineage: Eukaryota; Metazoa; Chordata; Mammalia; Artiodactyla; Delphinidae
Source: RefSeq, a predicted model, not a curated record